Molecule: non-coding RNA, 70 nt
Organism: Podarcis lilfordi (Lilford's wall lizard)
Lineage: Eukaryota; Metazoa; Chordata; Lepidosauria; Squamata; Lacertidae
Source: the annotation of a GenBank genome assembly
GGGACAGCUCAGUCAGUAGAGCAGGAGACUCUUAAUCUCAAGGUCAUGGGUUCGAGCUCUGCUUGGAGCA